UACGUAGGUGGCAAGCGUUGUCCGGAUUUACUGGGCGUAAAGAGCGCGCAGGCGGUCGGAUAAGUCGAAUGUGAAAGCCCCCGGCUCAACUGGGGAGGGUCAUUCGAUACUGUUCGACUCGAAGGCAGGAGAGGGAAGUGGAAUUCCCGGUGUAGUGGUGAAAUGCGUAGAUAUCGGGAGGAACACCAGUGGCGAAGGCGACUUCCUGGCCUGUUCUUGACGCUGAGGCGCGAAAGCGUGGGGAGCAAACGGG
This 253-nucleotide ribosomal RNA is filed under the name uncultured bacterium. Its description in RNAcentral is "partial 16S ribosomal RNA". It matches the Rfam family "Bacterial small subunit ribosomal RNA", at positions 524 to 776 of the family's 1533-position model. The record is from RNAcentral.